GAAAGCUUGGAGAACAAAACAUUAAGUAACUUGCCCACAAGCCAUCCAAAAAGGCUGAGAUGGACCUACAUCCUCAUAACAAUAGUGUUCCAAGCAGGAAAGGAGAACGUGAAAUCAAACAGGGCUUUCCUCCUGGGACUUUCUCUAUUGAAGGGGAAAAUCUCAGAAGCCACUUGCAGACUUCUUCUACAUCUCAUUUGGCCAGAACUGGUUCAGAUGCCCACCAGACCAAACAAAGGGGAAACUAUGACUGGCUUAGAGCAGUCAUGGUAUAUAUCCUGGGGCUUAGCCUUCUGCCAUUUAAAAAAUUGAGGGAAUCUGGCAGCAAGCAAGAAGAGGGAAUGGCUAUAGAGCAGGAAAUGAACAAUGUAAGCCACAUCUUAUUUAAUAUUUACCUAAAUUUAGUAAAUAUUACAUACAUAUUAGUUUAACCAAAAAGCGUUAAAAAAUUAAGAGACAAAAGUGUAUACAUUGGGAGAAGGAUGUAUAUAGCAACUAAAUCCUCAUCUUCCAUAGCAGGAAACUAAUUGUUAAUAUCCCAAGCUGAGAAAUACGCUGGGCACAGGGGCUCACACCUAUAAUUGCAGCACUUUGGGAGGCUGAGGUGAGAAGAUCACCUUAGCUCAGGAGUUCAAAACCAGCUUGGGCAACAUGGUGAGAAACCAUCUCUACAAAGACUUUAAAAAUUAGUCAUGCUUGGAGCAGUAUGAAAAAGAAGAGGCAAGAACGACCCCCUGACCAACCAAAGCCCAUGCGCCACUGCAUCCCACGCCCAGCGCCUACAUCCCGCCGCCAUCACCACCAUGCCCAAGAGAAAGGCUGAAGGGGAUGCUAAAGGAGAUAAAGCCAAGGUGAAGGACGAAUCACAGAGAAGAUCCGCAAGGUUACCUGCUAAACCUGCUCCUCCAAAGCCAGAGCCCAAGCCUAAAAAGGCCCCUGCAAAGAAGGGAGAAAAGGUACCCAAAGGGAAAAAGGGAAAAGCUGAUGCUGGCAAGAAAGGGAAUAACCCUGCAGAAAAUGGAGACGCCAAAACAGACCAGGCACAGAAAGCCGAAGGUGCUGGAGAUGCCAAGUGAAGUGUGUGCAUUUUUGAUAACUGUGUACUUCUGGUGACUAUACAGUUUGAAAUGUUAUUUUUUAUCCAGUUUUAUAAAAAUGCAGAAUUUUGUUUUACUUUUUUUUAAGCUAUGUUGUUAGCACACAGAACACUUCAUUGUUGUUUUGGGGGAAGGGGCAUAUGUCACUAAUAGAAUACCUCCAAAGCUGGAUUGAUGUGGGGAAAUACCUUUCCCUUCUAGUUUUGAGAGACUUCCUCUUGGCUCCCAGGAGGAGGGAUUCCCUGACUUUGACACACAUGGCCACCUUGGUACACAAAAGCCUUGUGGUAUGGAAAAACAAAUUUGUUUUUCUGUCCUCUUCUCCCUUUCCGUCUUUCAGCAUAGACUUAACUCCCUUAAGCCCAAACAUCUGUUGGGACCUGACCCCCAGUCAUUGGUUACCAGUGUGUCAGGCAAUCUGGACUUGCCAGUGAUGCCACUGAGAUGACACCUGUCAAAAGAGCAGUGAUUCCAUUUCUAGAUUGUGGACCUUCAGAUAAAUUCUGCCAUUUUCAUUUCACUUCCUGAAAGUCAAGAGUUGGCUCGUGAAAAGCUGUUAAACAUGCUAAAUGUGAAAUGUCAACCCUCACUCUAAACUUACCCUGUUCAGAGCAUCAAAUGAAGACUUCAUUGGGUUUUAUAGUGGCUCUCUGAUUUUUGGUAGUCCAUCAAAGAAGGGAGUUUGAAAGUUGUUGUAUACUGUUAAUGAUUGUCUGCCCAUGUCCUGCCUGAAAUACCAUGAUUGUUUAUGGAAAGUAUCUUUAAUAAAGCUGGAUACAGUUUGGCUUGGAAAAAAAAAAA
Molecule: RNA transcript, 1898 nt
Organism: Sapajus apella (tufted capuchin)
Lineage: Eukaryota; Metazoa; Chordata; Mammalia; Primates; Cebidae
Gene name: non-histone chromosomal protein HMG-17 pseudogene
Exons: 1
Source: RefSeq, a predicted model, not a curated record